RNAcentral lists this ribosomal RNA (253 nucleotides) under uncultured bacterium. RNAcentral's name for it is "partial 16S ribosomal RNA". It matches the Rfam family "Bacterial small subunit ribosomal RNA", at positions 524 to 776 of the family's 1533-position model. The record is from RNAcentral.
UACGGAGGAUGCAAGCGUUAUCCGGAAUGAUUGGGCGUAAAGCGUCCGCAGGUGGCUAUGUAAGUCUGCUGUUAAAGAGUGAGGCUCAACCUCAUAAGAGCAGUGGAAACUACAUAGCUAGAGUGCGUUCGGGGCAGAGGGAAUUCCUGGUGUAGCGGUGAAAUGCGUAGAGAUCAGGAAGAACACCGGUGGCGAAAGCGCUCUGCUAGGCCGCAACUGACACUCAUGGACGAAAGCUAGGGGAGCGAAUGGG